GGUAAGUACGGUGUAGCAGGAGGGGGAAUACGGAGGGUGCAAGCGUUAAUCGUAAUGACUGGGCGUAAAGCGUGCGCAGGCGGCUUAUUAAGUCAGAUGUGAAAUCACUAAGCUCAACCUAGGAACGGCAUUUGAAACUAAUAAACUAGAGUAUCGUAGAGGGAGGUAGAAUUCCAGGUGUAGCGGUGAAAUGCGUAGAUAUCUGGAGGAAUACCAGUGGCGAAGGCGACCUCCUGGACGAAAACUGACGCUCAAGCACGAAAGCAUGGGGAGCAAACAGGAUUAGAUACCCUUGUAGUC
This 300-nucleotide ribosomal RNA is filed under the name uncultured Lactobacillus sp. Its description in RNAcentral is "bacterial SSU rRNA". It matches the Rfam family "Bacterial small subunit ribosomal RNA", at positions 496 to 795 of the family's 1533-position model. Lineage: Bacteria; Bacillati; Bacillota; Bacilli; Lactobacillales; Lactobacillaceae. The record is from RNAcentral.